UAUAUAUACAUUAUUGCCUUUAAUGUUCAUCUUAUCCCAAUUUUACAGAUAAGGGAUUGAGACACAGAAAUUAAAUGACAGGCCAAGCCUGCAGAGCUCAUAAAUGGCAGACGUGGGAUGUUCUCUUAUGCACUAGGCAAGGGAUGCUAUGGAAUCAGUUCCUAUCCCCAGAGAAUUGGCUACCUGGUGCAUAUGAAAAACCUACAAAGGAACAGGAGAUAAUCAAACCAGUAUUCAAAGAAGGAAGCUGCAUGUUGCAAUUCUCUCCCCAGGUCCCCAGCCAUCUUCUGUUGGGAAUUGUGCUUCUAGUUUACACUGCUGAUGCUUUCCUACAUUUUAAGAAGUUUUUUUCUUUAUCUCUAAGGAAGGUCUC
RNAcentral lists this long non-coding RNA (373 nucleotides) under Canis lupus familiaris (dog). RNAcentral describes it as "lncRNA (ENSCAFG00000055814.1)". Lineage: Eukaryota; Metazoa; Chordata; Mammalia; Carnivora; Canidae. The record is from RNAcentral.